CCCUUUUUGGUGUAUAACAUUGGGAUGCCUACCUCAACGGGUGCUCUGAGUUUUCAGUGAGAUACGGUCUGUAGAGUAGUGACUGUGAUGUCUGCGACAUAGUAAGCUCACAGUUCAUCAUGGCUAGUGUGACUGCCUCUAACCUUUUCCCAACUAAGCACUGGACCGUUCAGGAAGUUUCUGGGGAGCUUUGGUUUGCUUAUGGCUGCAGCACCUAACUAGAGAUGUAUGCUGGGGUGAGCGUUCAUUUCUGAGCCUCAGUUUGCUCAUCUGUAAAAUAGGAAUAAAAUAGCCUGCUCCUGUUGCCUGCCUUCCAGGGAAGUCAGAGCUUCAAGGAGUAGCUGCAGGUUGCCUUUAUUAACACUCCCAGCUCAGCCCUGCCCAGGGAGAGCUGUGUGUGUGUGUGUUUGUGUGUGUGUGUGUGGUGGGGAGGAGAUUGAGUAACAGUUUUGAUUCAACUGUUACAAAGCCAUUACUUCCAUUUUUCCAUUGGCUUAACCUUCCCCCUCUCAAGCUCCAGUGACCUCCUUUAACAAUUGCUGCCUCUGCUUAUCUUGUUGGGAUGUCAAAGAGAUAAUAUAUAUAAAGCCUCUAGCACAGAGCCUGGCGCAUGGUAGAUGUCUAAUAAAUGCUCUUUCCUUUCCUUCAAAAAAAAUUCCCAGCACUUCCUUGGGCACUGGGAUCACGUUAUUUUUUCUUUGAAAUUUACACUUUCUUUGCGUAUUAUAACAAUAACAGCUAUCACCUUUGCCCAGAAACUGCAUGGCUCCCUCCUCCUUGUUUUUCAGAAGUUGAGGGAGCCGUCCCUUCCUCAGAGCAGUCCUGCCGACCCCCUGAUGAAAAGCAGCACUGCAUGCUCACCCCAGCCCCACUCCAGUCCUAGGACACUCAGCACUGGCUGGGAACUCUCUUUUUCACCGAUGGAUUUUCCCUAUCUGCCUCCAGAGUGCUCAUCCUCCACUGGACAGAGCCAGGCCUGCAGCGGGUUCUCAGGAAAUAACUCUCUGUUGGGCAUCAGAGACUUUAGCAGUCAAUUUGCCUCCUUGAUUUCAUCCUCACAGCAAUGCUGCAGGGCUGUCUUCUUGUUCAGAUAAAGAAGCCGGCUCAGAGAUGUCACCUCUUGUGCCCAGGGCUGCAGAAGGAUGAUGUGGCAGACCUGAAUUCACACAGCGUGCUGUCUGGAUUUGCCGCCCUCUCCCUGCCCUGUAGCCUUUGGUUCCUGGGGAAAGCCUCCUUAUUAAGCCACAGGUCAUCCUGAAAACCAGGUGAGUUCCAUCAAACAAACAAACAGGAACAGCUCUAGCUCCACCCCAGGGCCUUAAUUUCACAGGGCAAGUUUCGGAUGCCCACUGGAGAGUGCAGGGUCACACCCAGGAGUGGCUUUCUCAAGGUAGGAAGGGACACCUCUGCUCCUGGUACCUCUGGACACUCCAGAUGUCCACUCUAUGAGGUGACAUAUCUGUGUGAAAGUAGCCCAUGAGAGAGUGCCAAGGCCAUGGGACAGAGGCCCCAGCAUGUGAGCUCAAACGAGGCAGCAUGGGUCUGAAAGGGUCCUUCUUGAGAUGUGAAAUCUUGGAGCCACAGCCUGAAGGAGCUCGCCUGGUUGAAUAAAGAAAUCACUCAACAAAGGACGCUCCUUCUCCAGCCUGAAGAGGCGCUGACGCCACCUACAGCCUGGAGACCGGCUCUGCAACCAGCACCUGCCAGCCAGUCUGGUGCUGGGGGGAAGAGAUUAGAAUUUAUAUGGGGCAUGGAGAACGGGCAGUCAACUCUCAAGGUGAAUACUUUCCCUGAUAAAUUGUAAACCAUUAAAAACAUGUUUAAAAAUUAUUUUGACUAAUGAGUUUUUGAAGAUUGUAGCAGUUGGAUUAAAAUUUGUGAACUACAUUUCUUAUAUAAAUAUAUUUUUUCUAGUGAGCACCUU
Molecule: long non-coding RNA, 1924 nt
Filed under: Equus caballus (horse)
Lineage: Eukaryota; Metazoa; Chordata; Mammalia; Perissodactyla; Equidae
Description: lncRNA (ENSECAG00000054589.1)
Source: RNAcentral